GCCACCAUAGCUCAGAUAGGUAGAGCACAUCCAUGGUAAGGAUGAGGUCAUCGGUUCGAAUCCGAUUGGUGGCU
RNAcentral lists this transfer RNA (74 nucleotides) under Lactobacillus sp. RNAcentral's name for it is "tRNA-Thr". It matches the Rfam family "tRNA". Rfam says of the family: Transfer RNA (tRNA) molecules are approximately 80 nucleotides in length. Their secondary structure includes four short double-helical elements and three loops (D, anti-codon, and T loops). Further hydrogen bonds mediate the characteristic L-shaped molecular structure. tRNAs have two regions of fundamental functional importance: the anti-codon, which is responsible for specific mRNA codon recognition, and the 3' end, to which the tRNAs corresponding amino acid is attached (by aminoacyl-tRNA synthetases). tRNAs cope with the degeneracy of the genetic code in two manners: having more than one tRNA (with a specific anti-codon) for a particular amino acid; and 'wobble' base-pairing, i.e. permitting non-standard base-pairing at the 3rd anti-codon position. The record is from RNAcentral. Lineage: Bacteria; Bacillati; Bacillota; Bacilli; Lactobacillales; Lactobacillaceae. RNAcentral also lists the same sequence under 2 other names.